ACUGGCGAACUAGGAACCGGGAGAGGUAAGACGUACUUCGGGGGUAGGAGUGAAAUCUUGUAAUCCCCGAGGGACGACCGAUGGCGAAGGCAUCUUACCAGAACGGCUUCGACAGUGAGGGACGAAAGCUGGGGGAGCAAACCGGAUUAGAUACCCGGGUAGUCCCAGCCGUAAACGAUGUGCGUUAGGUGUGUCAGCGACCACGAGUCGCUGAGGUGCCGAAGGGAAACCGUGAAACGCACCGCCUGGGAAGUACGGUCGCAAGGCUGAAACUUAAAGGAAUUGG
This 286-nucleotide ribosomal RNA is filed under the name uncultured methanogenic archaeon. RNAcentral's name for it is "partial 16S ribosomal RNA". It matches the Rfam family "Archaeal small subunit ribosomal RNA", at positions 583 to 868 of the family's 1478-position model. Lineage: Archaea; Methanobacteriati; Methanobacteriota. The record is from RNAcentral.